ACGCUGGCGGCGUGCCUAACACAUGCAAGUCGAGCGAGAAUUUAGUAAUUGAUCCCUUCGGGGUGAUUUGCUAAGGAAAGCGGCGGACGGGUGAGUAACGCGUGAGUAACCUGCCCUUUGGAGUGGGGAUAACACAGAGAAAUCUGUGCUAAUACCGCAUAAUAUAUGUUUACCGCAUGAUAGACAUAUCAAAGAUUUAUCGCCAAAGGAUGGACUCGCGUCUGAUUAGAUAGUUGGUGAGGUAACGGCUCACCAAGUCGACGAUCAGUAGCCGAACUGAGAGGUUGAUCGGCCACAUUGGGACUGAGACACGGCCCAGACUCCUACGGGAGGCAGCAGUGGGGAAUAUUGCGCAAUGGGGGAAACCCUGACGCAGCAACGCCGCGUGAAGGAAGAAGGUCUUCGGAUUGUAAACUUUUGUCUUAUGGGAAGAAUUUUGACGGUACCAUAGGAGGAAGCCACGGCUAACUACGUG
This 475-nucleotide ribosomal RNA is filed under the name uncultured bacterium. RNAcentral describes it as "bacterial SSU rRNA". It matches the Rfam family "Bacterial small subunit ribosomal RNA", at positions 33 to 507 of the family's 1533-position model. The record is from RNAcentral.